This 295-nucleotide ribosomal RNA is filed under the name uncultured bacterium. RNAcentral describes it as "partial 16S ribosomal RNA". It matches the Rfam family "Bacterial small subunit ribosomal RNA", at positions 62 to 353 of the family's 1533-position model. The record is from RNAcentral.
UCGAACGAUGAAACCGCCCUCGGGCGGACAUGAAGUGGCGAACGGGUGAGUAACACGUGACCAACCUGCCCCUUGCUCCGGGACAACCUUGGGAAACCGAGGCUAACACCGGAUACUCCUCGCCCCCCUCCCUGGGGGGCCCGGGAAAGCCCAGACGGCAAGGGAUGGGGUCGCGGCCCAUUAGGUAGUAGGCGGGGUAACGGCCCACCUAGCCCGCGAUGGGUAGCCGGGUUGAGAGACCGACCGGCCACAUUGGGACUGAGAUACGGCCCAGACUCCUACGGGAGGCAGCAUG